Molecule: ribosomal RNA, 397 nt
Filed under: uncultured bacterium
Lineage: Bacteria
Description: bacterial SSU rRNA
Rfam family: Bacterial small subunit ribosomal RNA
Source: RNAcentral
UAAUACGGAGGGGGCAAACGUUGUUCGGAAUCACUGGGCGUAAAGGGCGCGUAGGCGGCCUUGCAAGUCAGAAGUGAAAUCUCGGGGCUUAACCUCGAAACUGCUUUUGAAACUGCAAGGCUAGAGAUCGGUAGAGGAUGGUGGAAUUCCCCGUGUAGAGGUGAAAUUCGUAGAUAUGGGGAGGAACACCGGAGGCGAAGGCGGCCAUCUGGGCCGAUACUGACGCUGAGGCGCGAAAGUGUGGGUAGCGAACAGGAUUAGAUACCCUGGUAGUCCACACCGUAAACGAUGAGUGCUAGUAGUUGCGGGUAUCGACCCCUGCGGCUACGAAGUUAACGCGAUAAGCACUCCGCCUGGGGAGUACGGCCGCAAGGUUAAAACUCAAAGGAAUUGACGG